CUCUUGGCAUGUGCUCGGUAUUAUCAAAAGAAAGAAAACAAGAAAACUGAAUGCUACUUAGAGCUAAAGUAUAUGCCAACUCUAAGCCAGGCAUUCCACUUAACAUUCUACCAAAGCCCUAGAACGUCAAGCUUCAAGGUUCUUUACUCAAGACCAGCAAGUGCUUUUGGACGAGUGUCUGUAGCUUUCAAUUCUUGGCGGCAGCGUUUAAGUGUGCAGAAGCCAGAAAGCCAUGUUAACGAAACCUACAGUGUGUGCCAAAGCCCCCAAGCAAAACACGUCCCACGUGGCUUUGGGCAGGGCCAGUGGAGCAGGGCAGGAGGAGAAAUGAGUGCCUGGUACAUGGUAGCCUCUCUUCGCCCUCACAGCUCCUAGUAAGAAUCUCUUUGUGAACUGCUGCUCCCUUCCAACAGCUGGUAAUUCACCAUUACGGUGGGGCAUCAAGUCUCAUCGAACUAUUGGCUCGGACUUUAAACAUGACUAAAUUAAGUAUGACAAAGCCAAACAAGUAGGAACUCAAAAAACCACUUUCUUUACUUAUGAAAGACUAAUAUUAAAAAAUUAGUUGGUAGUUAGGCCAGCUUACUACUAUCUGACAGUAAAAAGUUAGUAAAAACCUAGAAUGGACUUUAGAACACCAGUUUGCCUAGUCCUCGUCUCUACCCGCUACGGCUCACAAGUGACACAACACUGCCUAUAGGGGCAGCAUUCC
Molecule: long non-coding RNA, 712 nt
Filed under: Rattus norvegicus (Norway rat)
Lineage: Eukaryota; Metazoa; Chordata; Mammalia; Rodentia; Muridae
Description: long non-coding RNA NONRATT003644
Source: RNAcentral